Molecule: long non-coding RNA, 644 nt
Organism: Galeopterus variegatus (Sunda flying lemur)
Lineage: Eukaryota; Metazoa; Chordata; Mammalia; Dermoptera; Cynocephalidae
Exons: 2
Source: RefSeq, a predicted model, not a curated record
CUGCUUGCUGCCCCAGGUCCCACAAUUAUCCCACCGCGUAGCGCCCAGACGGGCAAGUGGGGGGCACAUAGCGGACCCAAGGAGAGACCACCUUUGGCAAGCUGGACCUGCACCUGAGGCCUGGCCCUGUAAUCCGAACACUCACUGGAUAGAAAAUAGUGCUCACAGCUCCCACCCCCAGGAAGUCUAGAGACUUUUCUCACAGCAUGCUUUGGAAAACCUCCCAAUUUGUUCUCCUAAGGAAAGGAAUCUGAGGAACCGAGAGAUGGAGCAGGAAGAAAGGAAACAAACAUCUGAGAAAAAGAGUAAAUAUGGGAGUAAGAGUUUUUAAAAAAAACAGUGAAAAAUCUAUGAAGAAAGUACAAGAGGGCAAAGUCCAGCUUAGAAGAAACAAGCUAUGACAUGAAGGAUUUUAGAGGGAAAAACAGGUCCCCUUUUCAAAAGAUCGUGUUAAUGGAGUAGCUGCCUAAAAUAACUCACAGAAGGAAAAGAAAAGAUAUCAAAAUACAAAGAAGUUUCACACGGAAAAAAAUGCCUUGUAUUUUUACCCAACAAAAAACGUAGAUGUGAGUGAAACUUUGUUCUUUGAAGUCCCAUAAAUCCCUUCAAAAUAUUUUUUAAUAAAAAAAUUUUAAUUUAAAGUA